Oncorhynchus keta (chum salmon) is the source of this 478-nucleotide long non-coding RNA. RefSeq lists it as uncharacterized. Lineage: Eukaryota; Metazoa; Chordata; Actinopteri; Salmoniformes; Salmonidae. The transcript is spliced from 3 exons. The record is from RefSeq and is a predicted model, not a curated record.
CAGACAGACAGGGGUUCAUAUAGAGACAGACAGACAGGGGUUCAUAUAGAGACAGACAGACAGGGGUUAAUAUAGAGACAGACAGACAGGGGUUAAUAUAGAGACAGACAGACAGGGGUUAAUAUAGAGACAGACAGACAGGGGUUAAUAUAGAGACAGACAGACAGGGGUUAAUAUAGAGACAGACAGACAGGGGUUAAUAUAGAGACAGACAGACAGGGGUUAAUAUAGAGACAGACAGACAGAGGUUAAUAUAGAGACAGACAGACAGGGGUUAAUAUAUAGACAGACAGACAGGGGUUAAUAUAGACAGACAGACAGGGGUUAAUAUAUAGACAGACAGGGGUUAAUAUAGACAGACAGAGGUUAAUAUAAACAGACAGACAGGGGUUAAUAUAGACAGACAGACAGGGGUUAAUAUAGACAGACAGGGGUUAAUAUAGACAGACAGGGGUUAAUAUAGACAGACAGACAGGGG